RNAcentral lists this ribosomal RNA (454 nucleotides) under uncultured bacterium. RNAcentral's name for it is "bacterial SSU rRNA". It matches the Rfam family "Bacterial small subunit ribosomal RNA", at positions 464 to 916 of the family's 1533-position model. The record is from RNAcentral.
AAAUUCUGAUAGUACUUCAUGAAUAAGGGGUUGCUAAACUCGUGCCAGCAGCAGCGGUAAUACGAGUACCCCAAGCGUUAUCCGGAAUUAUUGGGCGUAAAGGGUGUGUAGGCGGUCAUGUUAGUCAUUUGUUAAAGCCUCCGGCUCAACCGGAGAACUGCGAAUGAAACGGCAUGACUGGAGAGCGUGAGAGGUUUGCGGAACUCAUGGUGUAGGGGUGAAAUCCGUUGAUAUCAUGGGGAACACCAAAAGCGAAGGCAGCAAACUGGCACGUUUCUGACGCUGAAACACGAAAGCGUAGGUAGCGAAUGGGAUUAGAUACCCCAGUAGUCUACGCCCUAAACGAUCUUCUCUAGCUUUUCGGAGUAUCGACCCUCUGAGAGGCAAAGCUAACGCGUUAAGAGAAGCGCCUGGGAAGUACGGCCGCAAGGCUAAAACUCAAAGGAAUUGACGG